This 487-nucleotide ribosomal RNA is filed under the name uncultured bacterium. RNAcentral's name for it is "bacterial SSU rRNA". It matches the Rfam family "Bacterial small subunit ribosomal RNA", at positions 57 to 507 of the family's 1533-position model. The record is from RNAcentral.
GCAAGUCGAGCGCACUGGCCCAACUGAUAUGACGUGCUUGCACUGAUUUGACGUUGGAUUCCCAGUGAGCGGCGGACGGGUGAGUAACACGUGGGCAACCUGCCCUGAAGCGGGGGAUAACAUCUGGAAACAGGUGCUAAUACCCCAUAUGAUGUGAUGCUGCAUGGCAUCGCAUUGAAAGAUUCAUCGGUGGCGGAUAGGCUCGCGGGACAUUAGCUAGACGGCGGGGCAACGGCCCACCGUGGCGACGAUGUCUAGGGGUUCUGAGAGGAAGACCCCCCACACUGGAACUGAGACACGGUCCAGACUCCUACGGGAGGCAGCAGUGGGGAAUCUUCCGCAAUGGGCGAAAGCCUGACGGAGCAACGCCGCGUGAGUGAAGAAGGCCUUCGGGUCGUAAAGCUCUGUUGUCGGGGACGAAUGUAGUUACCAUCAACAACCGUAACUAAUGACGGUACCUGACGAGGAAGCCACGGCUAACUACGUG